This 320-nucleotide ribosomal RNA is filed under the name uncultured eukaryote. RNAcentral's name for it is "partial 18S ribosomal RNA". It matches the Rfam family "Eukaryotic small subunit ribosomal RNA", at positions 1470 to 1796 of the family's 1831-position model. The record is from RNAcentral.
CCCCUAGGUGUUCUGGGCCGCACGCGCGCUACACUGAACAGUUCAACAAGUCUUAACCUUGGCCGAUAGGUCUGGGUAAUCUUUGAACGCUGUUCGUGAUUGGGAUAGACCUUUGCAAUUAUGGGUCUUCAACGAGGAAUUCCUAGUAAACGCAAGUCAUCAGCUUGCAUUGAUUACGUCCCUGCCCUUUGUACACACCGCCCGUCGCACCUACCGAUUGAAUGGUCCGGUGAAAUCUCGGGACGGCGGCUUGGUCGCUUGCGUCCGACUGCUGAAACUUGAUUAAACCAUAUCAUUUAGAGGAAGGUGAAGUCGUAACA